This 315-nucleotide ribosomal RNA is filed under the name Clostridioides difficile. RNAcentral's name for it is "partial 23S ribosomal RNA". It matches the Rfam family "Bacterial large subunit ribosomal RNA", at positions 2124 to 2437 of the family's 2925-position model. The record is from RNAcentral. Lineage: Bacteria; Bacillati; Bacillota; Clostridia; Peptostreptococcales; Peptostreptococcaceae.
UUGGUACUACAUGUACAGGAUAGGUGGGAGGCUUUGAAACCAGGACGCCAGUUUUGGCGGAGCCAUCCUUGGGAUACCACCCUUGUAGUACUGGGACUCUAACCAUAGGCCAUGAAUCUGGUCUUGGGACACUGUCAGGUGGGCAGUUUGACUGGGGCGGUCGCCUCCCAAAAGGUAACGGAGGCGCUCAAAGGUUCUCUCAGUACGGUCGGAAAUCGUACGUAGAGUGUAAAGGCAAAAGAGAGCUUGAUUGCAAGACAUACAGGUCGAGCAAGGAUGAAAAUCGGACUUAGUGAUCCGGUGGUUCUGCGUGGA